UUGCUAGUAAUGGCAAGUCAGCAUACUGCCGUGAAUACGUUCCCGGGCCUUGUACACACCGCCCGUCAAACCAUGAGAGUUGGCAACACCCGAAGUCGGUAGUCUAACCGCAAGGAGGACGCCGCCGAAGGUGGGGUUGAUGAUUAGGGUUAAGUCGUAACAAGGUACC
This 169-nucleotide ribosomal RNA is filed under the name uncultured bacterium. RNAcentral's name for it is "partial 16S ribosomal RNA". It matches the Rfam family "Bacterial small subunit ribosomal RNA", at positions 1332 to 1500 of the family's 1533-position model. The record is from RNAcentral.